Molecule: ribosomal RNA, 537 nt
Filed under: Triticum aestivum (bread wheat)
Lineage: Eukaryota; Viridiplantae; Streptophyta; Magnoliopsida; Poales; Poaceae
Description: partial small subunit ribosomal RNA
Source: RNAcentral
AUGGAAAGCACAAACGAGGGAGAUCACCAGGAUAAUGGCAGUCUGAAUACAUCGAGUGCCAUACCAAGUUGGGUACCACAGAUGGGCAUGAAAUUCGGCACUGUCGAUGAAGCAUGGACAUUCUGGGUUACUUAUGGGGGCAAAGUUGGAUUUGGUACUAGAAAGCGAUACCUCAACCCAAGUAAGUUUGAUCGGACAAUCACGUCGUGCAGAUUUGUUUGUCGCAAGGAAGGCCAUCGAGGAAAAGACAAAAGAGAUAAGCAUAUUAAGGAACCUCGAGCUGAGAUUCGAACCGGUUGUCUAGCUCGCAUGGGUCUCACAAUAAACAGAGAAGCGGGAAAUUAUGAAGUAACCGAUCUUGUUCUAGAGCACAACCACAUUAUGCAGUUGCAAGAAACAUGCCACUUUCUGCCAUCACAGCGAAAGAUAUCUGAAAUUCAAGCUUUUGAGAUUGAAAUUGCAGAUGAUUCAGGUAUUGGGCCAAAAGCUGCGUAUGAGUGUGCUAGUCGUCGAGUUGGUGGACCAUCUGUUCUUGGC